This 460-nucleotide ribosomal RNA is filed under the name uncultured bacterium. Its description in RNAcentral is "partial 16S ribosomal RNA". It matches the Rfam family "Bacterial small subunit ribosomal RNA", at positions 338 to 795 of the family's 1533-position model. The record is from RNAcentral.
CCUACGGGAGGCAGCAGUGAGGAAUAUUGGUCAAUGGACGAGAGUCUGAACCAGCCAAGUAGCGUGAAGGAUGACUGCCCUAUGGGUUGUAAACUUCUUUUAUAUGGGAAUAAAACGUUCCACGUGUGGGAUUUUGUAUGUACCAUAUGAAUAAGGAUCGGCUAACUCCGUGCCAGCAGCCGCGGUAAUACGGAGGAUCCGAGCGUUAUCCGGAUUUAUUGGGUUUAAAGGGAGCGUAGGUGGAUUGUUAAGUCAGUUGUGAAAGUUUGCGGCUCAACCGUAAAAUUGCAGUUGAAACUGGCAGUCUUGAGUACAGUAGAGGUGGGCGGAAUUCGUGGUGUAGCGGUGAAAUGCUUAGAUAUCACGAAGAACUCCGAUUGCGAAGGCAGUUCACUGGACUGCAGCUGACACUGAGGCUCGAAAGUGUGGGUAUCAAACAGGAUUAGAUACCCGAGUAGUC